This is a non-coding RNA of Bactrocera oleae (olive fruit fly), 1539 nucleotides long. Lineage: Eukaryota; Metazoa; Arthropoda; Insecta; Diptera; Tephritidae. The record is from RefSeq and is a predicted model, not a curated record.
UGAGUGACAUAUGAAACCUAUUUGGGACCCCGCAGGUAGUCGGCCGGAUUUUAUUGUUCGGAGCCGAGCAGAUGCCGUUCGAGAGAGAAAGAAAAACUCAAGGUUAUUUCUUUGUUUUCUAUCGCGUACUAGAUUCGAGCAUUUUUUAGUAUGUAACAGAUUUUUGGUGGGAUCAGACGUGUUUCAUUUGGUGUUCUCUUGACAGUGAAAAAUAAAGCUAUGGAACAAUUAUCGAGAGCUGCCUAUGCUCGGUUAAGUGCAACCGAAAGCAAUGAGCAAGUAAUUCGAAUACAGAUCAUACAUUUGGCAUGUGGCAAUCCAAUUCUUAUCCGCUGUAUCGCGCGACGAUGGGAUUGACGAGAUUCCAUAAUAUUUUGCGUUUUUUGCGAUUCGACGAUGGUAAUACUCGAAGUGAACGUAAAAGAGAAGACAAGGCAGCUCCAAUUCGUGAUGUGUGGACAAUGUAGAAUUGAAAUUUAGCUCAGAUGUACAAACCAACAGCUAACUUGACGAUUGAUGAACCGCUCUAUCCAUACCGUGGCCGUACUGGAUUUACUCAAUAUAUUCUAUUGAAACCAGAUAAGUAUGGUAUAAAGAUCUGGUGGAUUUGUGAUGCAGAAAACGCAUAUCCUUUGCAAGGGAUUAUGUACAUUGGUAAAACAGAUAAUACUCGAGAAAAAAACAGGGUGAAAGAAUUGGCGGCUCCGUACCAAGGUAGUGGUAGAAACAUCUGCAUGGAUAACUUCUUUACUACUGUACCAGUUGCUAAACAUUUAAUGUCGUGGAAUAUUACCACUGUUGGCACGCUAAAAAAGAAUAAAUAUUACAUCCCUAGUGUUAUGGGGGCGAAUAAGACACAGGAGCAGUAUUCGACAGCUUUUGGAUUUCACGAAAAGGUUACCAUGUGUUCCUACGUUCCUAAAAAAAUUAAGCUGUCAUUCUGAUAUCUACAAUGCAUUCAGAUAUAUCAGUUGGUGAUGACGCUAAACGAAAACCAGAAAUAAUAAAUUUUUAUAACAAAUAUGAAGCUGGAGUUGACACACUGGACCAAAUAGUGCGGAGAUACACCAGUCAACGACGAUCUUCGAGAUGGCCAAUGGCAAUGUUCUUCAACAUGCUAGAUGUUUCUUUACUUGCGGCAUAUAUAAUUUAUUAUGAAAAUAAUAAAAUGAUUGUCAAAAACAAACGACAGAACGUCGUCAAUUUAUGCGUAAACUAAGUGAAGAACUAGCAUUGCCGAUGAUUGAACAUCGCACGGCGAAUCCACAAGUAAUGCGGCACUUCUCAACAAAGAUUGCCAUUGAAAGUGUAUUAGGCCAUAUACUGACAGAAAUAGUUGUGAUAAAUCCUGAUCCAGAGACUCCAAAAGAUAAAACCGGAAGGAAAAAAGUAACAGGAUGUUGUCAUGUCUGCAAUGCUUUGCCAAUAAGAAGACGACGAAAGACACGUAAGGCCUGUGCCAAUUGUCACCAACCUGUAUGUGACGAGCACUCAGUUAAUCGUGUACAAUGUGUUCAAUGUCAUUAAUUAUAAAAAAAA